GGAGGGUGCAAGCGUUAAUCGGAAUUACUGGGCGUAAAGCGCACGCAGGCGGUCUGUCAAGUCGGAUGUGAAAUCCCCGGGCUCAACCUGGGAACUGCAUUCGAAACUGGCAGGCUGGAGUCUUGUAGAGGGGGGUAGAAUUCCAGGUGUAGCGGUGAAAUGCGUAGAGAUCUGGAGGAAUACCGGUGGCGAAGGCGGCCCCCUGGACAAAGACUGACGCUCAGGUGCGAAAGCGUGGGGAGCAAACAGGAUUAGAUACCCUGGUAGUCCACGCUGUAAACGAUGUCGACUUGGAGGUUGUUCCCUUGAGGAGUGGCUUCCGGAGCUAACGCGUUAAGUCGACCGCCUGGGGAGUACGGCCGCAAGGUUA
RNAcentral lists this ribosomal RNA (370 nucleotides) under uncultured Klebsiella sp. RNAcentral describes it as "bacterial SSU rRNA". It matches the Rfam family "Bacterial small subunit ribosomal RNA", at positions 527 to 896 of the family's 1533-position model. Lineage: Bacteria; Pseudomonadati; Pseudomonadota; Gammaproteobacteria; Enterobacterales; Enterobacteriaceae. The record is from RNAcentral.